Molecule: ribosomal RNA, 253 nt
Filed under: uncultured bacterium
Lineage: Bacteria
Description: partial 16S ribosomal RNA
Rfam family: Bacterial small subunit ribosomal RNA
Source: RNAcentral
UACGUAGGGGGCUAGCGUUGUCCGGAAUUAUUGGGCGUAAAGGGCGCGUAGGCGGCUUUGCAAGUGACGGGUGAAAUCCCUCGGCUUAACCGAGGAACUGCCUGUCAAACUGCAUGGCUUGAAUCCGGGAGAGGGAUGCGGAAUUCCAGGUGUAGCGGUGAAAUGCGUAGAUAUCUGGAGGAACACCGGUGGCGAAGGCGGCAUCCUGGACCGGCAUUGACGCUGAGGCGCGAAAGCCAGGGGAGCAAACGGG